RNAcentral lists this ribosomal RNA (254 nucleotides) under uncultured bacterium. RNAcentral's name for it is "partial 16S ribosomal RNA". It matches the Rfam family "Bacterial small subunit ribosomal RNA", at positions 335 to 581 of the family's 1533-position model. The record is from RNAcentral.
CCGCCUACGGGAGGCAGCAGGAGGGAAUCUUCCACAAUGGACGAAAGUCUGAUGGAGCAACGCCGCGUGAGUGAAGAAGGGUUUCGGCUCGUUAAGCUCUGGUGGUAGUGGAGGAAGAUAGCGGUAGUAACUGGCCUUUAUUUGACGGUAAUUACUUAGAAAGUAACGGCUAACUUCGUGCCAGCAGCCGCGGUAAUACGUAGGUGGCAAGCGUUGUCCGGAUUUAUUGGGCGUAAAGCGAGUGCAGGCGGUGU